GUUUGGACUUGCUGUCUAAUGACUUCUUUAAUAUUCCAUUCCAUCUGAGUCAGGUAUGCCUUGAGUUCUUUAUCUGUCCAUUUUUCUGAUAUCUCUAGGUUCUCCUGUAAAUUUGAGUUAUCCUGCAUCCUUUUUUCCCUUGUUUUUUCAUGGUGGUCACGUUACUUUCCAACUCUGUUUGACUGCUGUUUCUGUUUUCUCCUAUAAAUUUGUUUUGGAUUUGUAUAGCUCCAAGAUCUCUCCUUUGUGUUGGGAGAGAAUUUUUAGAGAUGUUGGAUUUAAUUGUGAUUUAAGGUAAAUUCAUUAGUUUCAUUAAAGGCCUACAGAUUUUGAUGGCAUAUAGAGAAUUGAGGUUUGAACUUAGGAUUUUAUGUUAAGGUCGGGAGAUAUGAUGGUAUGGAGGUUAGUAUAUCUUAGCUUCUUUGGGGGUUGCUCAAAUGCAGGCGGAUAUUAACAAGAGAAUAGACAGGAGUACUUGGGGGUAGUUAAGGGCUUAGGCGGACUAUAGACCGACUCGUAAUAUUCAUCUAUUUGCAUUUAGUAAAUUACACGUAAUCGGAGUGAUCAUGCUUGGGAGGAAAGAUAGGGAAAAGGUAAGGAAGCAAACCAAGAAAGAGAGAGGGAGAGAAGAAAGAAAGAGAAAAAAAAUAGAAAAGAAAAAGAAGAAAUGAUAAAAAAUAAUAAUAAAAUAAAAAUUACAAUUAAAAAAAUGUACUGUUAGGCUUCUAUUUUCUUCGCUUCCAGUAGGUGGAGCUGUGCUUUCCUGACCAAGAUUUUGCCCUCAGGCUGUAGGAAACAAUCCGUAUGAGGCCGCUCCCUCCUCCCCCACCUGGUGUCUCUCCAAUCCAGUUCACUUAGGGUUGUUCUUGGCCUCUAGUUUCCUCGCUUCUCCCGCCAGCUAGGCCUUCCCCAGUGUGGUACCUCUCCACAGUUC
This 934-nucleotide long non-coding RNA is filed under the name Marmota monax (woodchuck). Lineage: Eukaryota; Metazoa; Chordata; Mammalia; Rodentia; Sciuridae. The record is from RNAcentral.